This 497-nucleotide ribosomal RNA is filed under the name uncultured bacterium. Its description in RNAcentral is "bacterial SSU rRNA". It matches the Rfam family "Bacterial small subunit ribosomal RNA", at positions 30 to 533 of the family's 1533-position model. The record is from RNAcentral.
AUUGAACGCUGGCGGCAGGCUUAACACAUGCAAGUCGAGCGGAGACUUCGGUCUUAGCGGCGAACGGGUGAGUAAUACCUAGGAAUCUGCCUAUUAGUGGGGGAUAACGAAUCGAAAGGUUCGCUAGUACCGCAUACGUCCUACGGGAGAAAGGGGGGGAUCUUCGGACCUCUCGCUAAUAGAUGAGCCUAGGCCGGAUUAGCUAGUUGGUAGGGUAAAGGCCUACCAAGGCGACGAUCUGUAGCUGGUCUGAGAGGAUGGCCAGCCACACUGGAACUGAGACACGGUCCAGACUCCUACGGGAGGCAGCAGUGGGGAAUAUUGGACAAUGGGGGCAACCCUGAUCCAGCCAUGCCGCGUGUGUGAAGAAGGCCUGCGGGUUGUAAAGCACUUUUGUUCGGGAAGAAAUCAUGUCGGUUAAUACCCGAUGUGGAUGACGGUACCGAAAGAAUAAGCACCGGCUAACUUCGUGCCAGCAGCCGCGGUAAAGUAGUCGU